AUAGAAUACAACAUGGAAAUAGUUUGGUGGCAUCUUUCCUCCCAAAUUGAAGGACCUCUCAAUAAAUCAAUGGCAACACUACUGAGAAGGAUGUAGAACUAUAUACGAAGCGGCAUGCAUGCUCAAUACUGGAAUUCAAAAUGAACAAAUUAAUAUAUUUCAAAUGAGAAGUUUAAUCUAUCUCUGAAUUUGAUAACCAGAAAACACAUUGCACUUGUGCUUACCAUGAGAUCCAUACUUCUUCCAAUUUGUAUCAACAAAUAGAUCAACAUGGGUGCAUAAUAAACUUAGUAAUUAACACCAAGCAACCUAGGCUUAAUUCACA
Molecule: long non-coding RNA, 325 nt
Filed under: Elaeis guineensis (African oil palm)
Lineage: Eukaryota; Viridiplantae; Streptophyta; Magnoliopsida; Arecales; Arecaceae
Description: long non-coding RNA (EGUI_LNC018801)
Source: RNAcentral